CCUACGGGAGGCAGCAGUGGGGGAUAUUGGACAAUGGGGGAAACCCUGAUCCAGCAACGCCGCGUGAGUGAAGACGGUUUUCGGAUUGUAAACCUCUGUCCUCAGUGAAGAUGAUGACGGUAGCAGAGGAGGAAGCUCCGGCUAACUACGUGCCAGCAGCCGCGGUAAUACGUAGGGAGCAAGCGUUGUCCGGAUUUACUGGGUGUAAAGGGAGCGUAGGCGGCUGCACAAGUCUGAAGUGAAAUCCAUGGGCUUAACCCAGGAACUGCUUUUGAAACUGCAGAGCUAGAGUGGAGUAGAGGUAGGCGGAAUUCCCGGUGUAGCGGUGAAAUGCGUAGAGAUCAGGAGGAACACCAGUGGCGAAGGCGGCCUGCUGGACUCUAACUGACGUUGAGGCUCGAAAGCGUGGGGAGCAAACAGGAUUAGAUACCCGUGUAGUC
Molecule: ribosomal RNA, 440 nt
Filed under: uncultured bacterium
Lineage: Bacteria
Description: partial 16S ribosomal RNA
Rfam family: Bacterial small subunit ribosomal RNA
Source: RNAcentral